GUGCUCGCCGGCAGCAUGGGUACUGACCCUGGAACAAUGCAGAGAAGACUAGCAUGGCCCCUGUGUAAGGAUGACACGCACAUUGGUGAAGCAGUCUGUAUUUUU
Molecule: small nuclear RNA, 105 nt
Organism: Sciurus carolinensis (gray squirrel)
Lineage: Eukaryota; Metazoa; Chordata; Mammalia; Rodentia; Sciuridae
Source: RefSeq, a predicted model, not a curated record